RNAcentral lists this unclassified non-coding RNA (422 nucleotides) under Hevea brasiliensis (rubber tree). The record is from RNAcentral. Lineage: Eukaryota; Viridiplantae; Streptophyta; Magnoliopsida; Malpighiales; Euphorbiaceae.
UUAAAAUUCUGCCUGGUAAAGAAGAUACUUCGGUUCUACAAAAAAUUGAUGGAAAGAAACAUCCUUAGAACUCUGUUGAGUGUGUUUCCUAUGGGACUUAUGUUUUCUUCCUUUAGUUCCAUGAUGGAUUGAUUUUGUACUUGUCACAAAAAGGGGAGAAGAAUGUCAACCAAAGGUUAGAUUUUACAACCAUGGUGGUUAAAAUGAAUGCAUGUAUGGGUGAUUAGUGUACUCUGCAUAUAUACAAUUGGAAUCUUCAUAUUGUUAAAGUUGUUACAUACAUCUUCACAUUGUUAAAGUUGUUACAUACACUGCGUAGUGGUUAAUAUUAGUGCAUUUGUGAAAGUUGUAGCAUACUUGCAUACGAUAUAUAGUGAUUAAUAUUAGUGCAUUUGUAGGGAUGUUGCAUAUGUUACCUCAAG